Molecule: long non-coding RNA, 374 nt
Filed under: Vigna radiata
Lineage: Eukaryota; Viridiplantae; Streptophyta; Magnoliopsida; Fabales; Fabaceae
Description: long non-coding RNA (VRAD_LNC002496)
Source: RNAcentral
UAAAUUCUUGCAUAGAAACUAAAAAUAAUUGAAUCAAGAAUGCGAUGAAAAAAAAGAAGAAAAAAGUCAACUCAAUCGGACAUGUACAUAGAAAAGCCUUUCCCAUUAAAACAAACAUCCUCGACCAAAUCAUCUAUGCGGGCUUGCUUAGCAAAGAUUGAUGGGAUGGUUGAGGUGAUAGAAUUCUCAAAACACGAGUCCUCAAAAGAAAAAUAGCAGGAUAUAUCACCAUGUUUUACUACCCUGUUUCAAUAUUUAGCCAAAUAGCUAGCUCUAGCAAUAGGCAUAACAACCCAUAAAUCCAUUUUAUCCUCCCCUACCACAACCGUUACCUAAACUCCACAACACAAGUCACUCCUUUUCUUUCAACAAUU